CCUGGCUCAGGAUGAACGCUAGCUACAGGCUUAACACAUGCAAGUCGAGGGGCAGCAUGGUCUUAGCUUGCUAAGACUGAUGGCGACCGGCGCACGGGUGAGUAACACGUAUCCAACCUGCCGUCUACUCUUGGACAGCCUUCUGAAAGGAAGAUUAAUACAAGAUGGCAUCAUGAGUCCGCAUGUUCACAUGAUUAAAGGUAUUCCGGUAGACGAUGGGGAUGCGUUCCAUUAGAUAGUAGGCGGGGUAACGGCCCACCUAGUCUUCGAUGGAUAGGGGUUCUGAGAGGAAGGUCCCCCACAUUGGAACUGAGACACGGUCCAAACUCCUACGGGAGGCAGCAGUGAGGAAUAUUGGUCAAUGGGCGAGAGCCUGAACCAGCCAAGUAGCGUGAAGGAUGACUGCCCUAUGGGUUGUAAACUUCUUUUAUAAAGGAAUAAAGUCGGGUAUGCAUACCCGUUUGCAUGUACUUUAUGAAUAAGGAUCGGCUAACUCCGUGCCAGCAGCCGCGGUAAUACGGAGGAUCCGAGCGUUAUCCGGAUUUAUUGGGUUUAAAGGGAGCGUAGAUGGAUGUUUAAGUCAGUUGUGAAAGUUUGCGGCUCAACCGUAAAAUUGCAGUUGAUACUGGAUAUCUUGAGUGCAGUUGAGGCAGGCGGAAUUCGUGGUGUAGCGGUGAAAUGCUUAGAUAUCACGAAGAACUCCGAUUGCGAAGGCAGCCUGCUAAGCUGCAACUGACAUUGAGGCUCGAAAGUGUGGGUAUCAAACAGGAUUAGAUACCCUGGUAGUCCACACGGUAAACGAUGAAUACUCGCUGUUUGCGAUAUACUGCAAGCGGCCAAGCGAAAGCGUUAAGUAUUCCACCUGGGGAGUACGCCGGCAACGGUGAAACUCAAAGGAAUUGACGGGGGCCCGCACAAGCGGAGGAACAUGUGGUUUAAUUCGAUGAUACGCGAGGAACCUUACCCGGGCUUAAAUUGCAGAUGAAUUACGGUGAAAGCCGUAAGCCGCAAGGCAUCUGUGAAGGUGCUGCAUGGUUGUCGUCAGCUCGUGCCGUGAGGUGUCGGCUUAAGUGCCAUAACGAGCGCAACCCUUGUUGUCAGUUACUAACAGGUUCCGCUGAGGACUCUGACAAGACUGCCAUCGUAAGAUGUGAGGAAGGUGGGGAUGACGUCAAAUCAGCACGGCCCUUACGUCCGGGGCUACACACGUGUUACAAUGGGGGGUACAGAGGGCCGCUACCACGCGAGUGGAUGCCAAUCCCCAAAACCUCUCUCAGUUCGGACUGGAGUCUGCAACCCGACUCCACGAAGCUGGAUUCGCUAGUAAUCGCGCAUCAGCCACGGCGCGGUGAAUACGUUCCCGGGCCUUGUACACAACGCCCG
RNAcentral lists this ribosomal RNA (1383 nucleotides) under uncultured bacterium. RNAcentral describes it as "bacterial SSU rRNA". It matches the Rfam family "Bacterial small subunit ribosomal RNA", at positions 18 to 1396 of the family's 1533-position model. The record is from RNAcentral.